RNAcentral lists this ribosomal RNA (497 nucleotides) under uncultured bacterium. RNAcentral's name for it is "partial 16S ribosomal RNA". It matches the Rfam family "Bacterial small subunit ribosomal RNA", at positions 28 to 507 of the family's 1533-position model. The record is from RNAcentral.
GAUGAACGCUGGCGGCGUGCCUAAUACAUGCAAGUCGAGCGAACAGACGAGGAGCUUGCUCCUCUGACGUUAGCGGCGGACGGGUGAGUAACACGUGGAUAACCUACCUAUAAGACUGGGAUAACUUCGGGAAACCGGAGCUAAUACCGGAUAAUAUAUUGAACCGCAUGGUUCAAUAGUGAAAGACGGUUUUGCUGUCACUUAUAGAUGGAUCCGCGCCGCAUUAGCUAGUUGGUAAGGUAACGGCUUACCAAGGCAACGAUGCGUAGCCGACCUGAGAGGGUGAUCAGCCACACUGGAACUGAGACACGGUCCAGACUCCUACGGGAGGCAGCAGUAGGGAAUCUUCCGCAAUGGGCGAAAGCUUGACGGAGCAACGCCGCGUGAGUGAUGAAGGUCUUCGGAUCGUAAAACUCUGUUAUUAGGGAAGAACAAAUGAGUAAGUAACUAUGCACGUCUUGACGGUACCUAAUCAGAAAGCCACGGCUAACUACGUG